UACGUAGGGUGCGAGCGUUGUCCGGAAUUAUUGGGCGUAAAGGGCUCGUAGGCGGUUUGUCGCGUCGGGAGUGAAAACAUCUGGCUUGACUGGGUGCUUGCUUUCGAUACGGGCAGACUGGAGGUAUGCAGGGGAGAACGGAAUUCCUGGUGUAGCGGUGAAAUGCGCAGAUAUCAGGAGGAACACCGGUGGCGAAGGCGGUUCUCUGGGCAUGACCUGACGCUGAGGAGCGAAAGUGUGGGGAGCGAACAGG
RNAcentral lists this ribosomal RNA (253 nucleotides) under uncultured bacterium. RNAcentral describes it as "partial 16S ribosomal RNA". It matches the Rfam family "Bacterial small subunit ribosomal RNA", at positions 524 to 776 of the family's 1533-position model. The record is from RNAcentral.